AUUGAACGCUGGCGGCAUGCCUUACACAUGCAAGUCGAACGGUAACAGGUUAAGCUGACGAGUGGCGAACGGGUGAGUAAUACAUCUGAACGUGCUCAGUAGUGGGGGAUAGCACGGCGAAAGCCGGAUCAACACCGCAUACGACCCACGGGUGAAAGGGGGGGAUCGCAAGAUCUCUCGCUAUUGGAGCGGCAGAUGUAAGAGUAGGUAGUUGGUGGGGUAAAGGCGUACCAAGCCAACGAGCUGUAGCUGGUAUGAGAGGACGACCAGCCACACUGGGACUGAGACACGGCCCAGACUCCUCCGGGAGGCAGCAGUGGGGAAUUUUGGACAAUGGGCGCAAGCCUGAUCCAGCCAUGCCGCGUGCGGGAAGAAGGCCUUCGGGUUGUAAACCGCUUUUGUCAGGGAAGAAACGCUCCGAGAUAAUACCUCGGGGUAAUGACGGUACCUGAAGAAUAAGCACCGGCUAACUACGUGCCAGCCGCCGCGGUAA
This 493-nucleotide ribosomal RNA is filed under the name uncultured bacterium. RNAcentral's name for it is "partial 16S ribosomal RNA". It matches the Rfam family "Bacterial small subunit ribosomal RNA", at positions 29 to 523 of the family's 1533-position model. The record is from RNAcentral.